Molecule: transfer RNA, 75 nt
Filed under: Candidatus Aerophobota bacterium
Lineage: Bacteria; Candidatus Aerophobota
Description: Candidatus Aerophobetes bacterium tRNA-Arg
Rfam family: tRNA
About the family: Transfer RNA (tRNA) molecules are approximately 80 nucleotides in length. Their secondary structure includes four short double-helical elements and three loops (D, anti-codon, and T loops).
Source: RNAcentral
GUCCUGGUAGCUCAACAGGAUAGAGCAACAGCCUUCUAAGCUAUGGGUUGGGGGUUCGAGUCCCCCAGGACUCCA